AAGACCUUGCGCUUUUGGAGCGGCCGAUGCCUGAUUAGCUAGUUGGUGGGGUAAUGGCCUACCAAAGCUUCGAUCAGUAGCUGGUCUGAGAGGACGGCCAGCCACACUGGGACUGAGACACGGCCCAGACUCCUACGGGAGGCAGCAGUGGGGAAUUUUGGACAAUGGGCGCAAGCCUGAUCCAGCCAUGCCGCGUGAGUGAAGAAGGCCUUCGGGYUGUAAAGCUCUCUCAGCCGGGAAGAAAAGGUUGCGAUUAAUAAUCGCAAUUUAUGACGGUACCGGAAGAAGAAGCACCGGCUAACUACGUGCCAGCAGCCGCGGUAAUACGUAGGGUGCGAGCGUUAAUCGGAAUUACUGGGCGUAAAGGGUGCGCAGGCGGUUUUGUAAGUCAGAUGUGAAAUCCCCGGGCUUAACCUGGGARCU
This 423-nucleotide ribosomal RNA is filed under the name uncultured bacterium. Its description in RNAcentral is "bacterial SSU rRNA". It matches the Rfam family "Bacterial small subunit ribosomal RNA", at positions 207 to 622 of the family's 1533-position model. The record is from RNAcentral.